UCCCAUAUUGUCUAGAGGUUAGGAUACCUGGCUCUCACCCAGGAGGCCCGGGUUCAAUUCCCGGUAUGGGAA
RNAcentral lists this transfer RNA (72 nucleotides) under Daphnia pulex (common water flea). RNAcentral's name for it is "tRNA-Glu". It matches the Rfam family "tRNA". From Rfam's summary of the family: Transfer RNA (tRNA) molecules are approximately 80 nucleotides in length. Lineage: Eukaryota; Metazoa; Arthropoda; Branchiopoda; Diplostraca; Daphniidae. The record is from RNAcentral.